Molecule: ribosomal RNA, 492 nt
Filed under: uncultured bacterium
Lineage: Bacteria
Description: partial 16S ribosomal RNA
Rfam family: Bacterial small subunit ribosomal RNA
Source: RNAcentral
AGUGAACGCUGGCGGUAGGCCUAACACAUGCAAGUCGAACGGCAGCACAGUAAGAGCUUGCUCUUACGGGUGGCGAGUGGCGGACGAGUGAGGAAUACAUCGGAAUCUACUUUUUCGUGGGGGAUAACGUAGGGAAACUUACGCUAAUACCGCAUACGACCUACGGGUGAAAGCAGGGGAUCUUCGGACCUUGCGCGAUUGAAUGAGCCGAUGUCGGAUUAGCUAGUUGGCGGGGUAAAGGCCCACCAAGGCGACGAUCCGUAGCUGGUCUGAGAGGAUGAUCAGCCAAACUGGAAAUGAGACACGGUCCAGACUCCUACGGGAGGCAGCAGUGGGGAAUAUUGGACAAUGGGCGCAAGCCUGAUCCAGCCAUACCGCGUGGGUGAAGAAGGCCUUCGGGUUGUAAAGCCCUUUUGUUGGGAAAGAAAAGCAGCAGGUUAAUACCCCGCUGUUCUGACGGUACCCAAAGAAUAAGCACCGGCUAACUUCGUG